Molecule: non-coding RNA, 121 nt
Organism: Picea glauca (white spruce)
Lineage: Eukaryota; Viridiplantae; Streptophyta; Pinopsida; Pinales; Pinaceae
Source: Rfam
ACAUGCUUACAACAUAGCGUUAAUGCACUAGAUCCCAUUAGAACUCUGUAGUUAAGCGCGCUUGGGCUAGAGUAGUACUGAGAUGGGCGACCACCCGGGAAGUCCAAGUAUUUUACAUGCC